This is a long non-coding RNA of Ceratitis capitata (Mediterranean fruit fly), 648 nucleotides long. RefSeq lists it as uncharacterized. Lineage: Eukaryota; Metazoa; Arthropoda; Insecta; Diptera; Tephritidae. The record is from RefSeq and is a predicted model, not a curated record. The transcript has 3 exons.
CAUGCCAAUCGAGCAACGAAACCGGACCAGGUUAUGUUUCGAUUGGGUGAUCGCAAUCGGGCACCUGGAUCUUGUGAUUUAACACCUUGCGUCUUUUUGCUUUGGAACCACAUAAAAGAUAAAGUUUACGCCAACAGGCCAACGUUGUUUCAGAAAGCAGCCACUUUGCGAUUGGGUGAAGGAUUGUUUUAUAAAGUCACCAUUGCGAAAGUCAUGGAUGAUGUUAUUGAUGAAGCGCUGCAUUAACGACAGAGAUUAUUAUUGAUGAAUGUGGGUCUCCAAGGAUAUAUCAACGAUGGAAAUUCACAGCGCAUAUUUGUGGGGUUACCGAAUGUAUUGGUAUUCGUCAAACGCUCGUAAAAUCUGCAGGACUACCAGUAGGUAUGAAUUAAGUACGUGCAGUAAGGAAUCAAUGGUGGCUUGUCAGAAGAUAAAUAGCACGUCAUCAUUAUCGCACGGCUGGUUAGGAUAAGCAGUGCCUAACACACCGAGGCGUAUACGUUACCUAAAUGGUUUGUAUGCAAAUUGUAUUAUAUUAUUUAUUCCGACCAAUUUUAUAGAUAUUUUCAUUCUUUAACUCUAAGUUACAUGAGAGAUCGAAUUUUAAUUGUAUUUUAGUAAAAAAUUAUCUGAGCUCUUAAUUGUUUU